This 73-nucleotide transfer RNA is filed under the name Oreochromis niloticus (Nile tilapia). It matches the Rfam family "tRNA". Rfam says of the family: Transfer RNA (tRNA) molecules are approximately 80 nucleotides in length. Their secondary structure includes four short double-helical elements and three loops (D, anti-codon, and T loops). Further hydrogen bonds mediate the characteristic L-shaped molecular structure. tRNAs have two regions of fundamental functional importance: the anti-codon, which is responsible for specific mRNA codon recognition, and the 3' end, to which the tRNAs corresponding amino acid is attached (by aminoacyl-tRNA synthetases). tRNAs cope with the degeneracy of the genetic code in two manners: having more than one tRNA (with a specific anti-codon) for a particular amino acid; and 'wobble' base-pairing, i.e. permitting non-standard base-pairing at the 3rd anti-codon position. The record is from Rfam by way of RNAcentral. Lineage: Eukaryota; Metazoa; Chordata; Actinopteri; Cichliformes; Cichlidae.
GGCCCAGAGGCCUAAUGGACUAGGCACCAGCCUCUGGAGCUAGUGGUUGUGGGUUUAAGUCUCACCUGGGACU